This is a long non-coding RNA of Ananas comosus (pineapple), 395 nucleotides long. RefSeq lists it as uncharacterized. Lineage: Eukaryota; Viridiplantae; Streptophyta; Magnoliopsida; Poales; Bromeliaceae. The record is from RefSeq and is a predicted model, not a curated record. The transcript is spliced from 4 exons.
GCCCUUCCUGACGAGUUGCUGAGCUAGAGGAAGACCAGCUACAGGCCGUAUUGGUGAUUCUCCUAUCAUGCUUGCCAAACCUCAAACUUUUAUGAAUACAAGUGGUGAAUCUGUUGAAUCGCUGGUUUCAUAUUACAAGUAAUUCUCACAUCCAGUUGUUGCCAGCUUUUUACAAAGCCUUCGUCUAUGCCUGUUGCUGUUGCUGAUUCCGACCGAGGCAAGGGAAUAGCGAACUAGAGUCGUCCUUUCCCUGGUCGUUUGCUAGAGGAGCGCCUAUCAGAGGUAGUUUUGGAUUUUAUAUACAUACUGUUAUGUAGUUGUGGUACUCGCUGGAGCGAGAUGGUUUUGUAGCCUUUUGUAUGUACUGUGAAUCCUUUUUGUUUUAUAUAUACAUG